This 563-nucleotide ribosomal RNA is filed under the name Hanseniaspora uvarum. Its description in RNAcentral is "partial large subunit ribosomal RNA". It matches the Rfam family "Eukaryotic large subunit ribosomal RNA", at positions 81 to 660 of the family's 3401-position model. The record is from RNAcentral. Lineage: Eukaryota; Fungi; Ascomycota; Saccharomycetes; Saccharomycodales; Saccharomycodaceae.
UAGUACGGCGAGUGAGCGGUAAAAGCUCAAAUUUGAAAUCUGGUACUUUCAGUGCCCGAGUUGUAAUUUGUAGAAUUUGUCUUUGAUUAGGUCCUUGUCUAUGUUCCUUGGAACAGGACGUCAUAGAGGGUGAGAAUCCCGUUUGGCGAGGAUACCUUUUCUCUGUAAGACUUUUUCGAAGAGUCGAGUUGUUUGGGAAUGCAGCUCAAAGUGGGUGGUAAAUUCCAUCUAAAGCUAAAUAUUGGCGAGAGACCGAUAGCGAACAAGUACAGUGAUGGAAAGAUGAAAAGAACUUUGAAAAGAGAGUGAAAAAGUACGUGAAAUUGUUGAAAGGGAAGGGCAUUUGAUCAGACAUGGUGUUUUUUGCAUGCACUCGCCUCUCGUGGGCUUGGGCCUCUCAAAAAUUUCACUGGGCCAACAUCAAUUCUGGCAGCAGGAUAAAUCAUUAAGAAUGUAGCUACUUCGGUAGUGUUAUAGCUUUUUGGAAUACUGUUAGCCGGGAUUGAGGACUGCGCUUCGGCAAGGAUGUUGGCAUAAUGGUUAAAUGCCGCCCGUCUUGAACC